This 342-nucleotide ribosomal RNA is filed under the name Triticum aestivum (bread wheat). RNAcentral describes it as "partial small subunit ribosomal RNA". The record is from RNAcentral. Lineage: Eukaryota; Viridiplantae; Streptophyta; Magnoliopsida; Poales; Poaceae.
AUGCUUGUUCACUUUGACUCUAUAUUUAUGCUAUGGUCACUUGGGGUUUAUGCAUAUGAGCUUCUCAGUUUUGUCUAUGAUAGACAGAGUAUAAUUUUGAUCGAUCUUUCCUAUGUAAACCACCGUACAUCAAUUCUGUUGCAUUCUUUGAUAGAUCUAUGUAUUUGGACUAGCUUCCUGGUUUCCCUUUUCUCAAUAAUCUCAACCUCCAUGACAGAUGUGGAGACCGAUCAUGAGCCUCUCCUUUCACAUUGGAUUGUGUUUCAACUAAAAAGCUUAGGGUUUACCUCUGUGCUUCACUUUUCACGCUUUAAAAGCCUUUUCCGAGCAAGACAGGCUUAG